Molecule: ribosomal RNA, 265 nt
Filed under: uncultured archaeon
Lineage: Archaea
Description: partial 16S ribosomal RNA
Rfam family: Archaeal small subunit ribosomal RNA
Source: RNAcentral
CACGCCGUAAACUAAUGCGCGUUAGGUGUAUCGGUGACCACGAGUUACCGAGGUGCCGAAGGGAAACCGUGAAACGUGCCGCCUGGGAAGUACGGUCGCAAGGCUGAAACUUAAAGGAAUUGGCGGGGGGAGGCACCACAACAGGUGGAGCCUGCGGUUUAAUUGGACUCAACGCCGGGAAGCUCACCGGAUAGGACAGCAGAAUGAUUGCCGGGCUGAAGACCCUGCAUGACUAGCUGAGAGGUGGUGCAUGGCGUCAGUGACU